RNAcentral lists this ribosomal RNA (465 nucleotides) under Vreelandella stevensii. RNAcentral's name for it is "partial 16S ribosomal RNA". It matches the Rfam family "Bacterial small subunit ribosomal RNA", at positions 338 to 795 of the family's 1533-position model. The record is from RNAcentral. Lineage: Bacteria; Pseudomonadati; Pseudomonadota; Gammaproteobacteria; Oceanospirillales; Halomonadaceae.
CCUACGGGGGGCUGCAGUGGGGAAUAUUGGACAAUGGGGGCAACCCUGAUCCAGCCAUGCCGCGUGUGUGAAGAAGGCCCUCGGGUUGUAAAGCACUUUCAGUGAGGAAGAACGCCUGGUGGUUAAUACCCAUCAGGAAAGACAUCACUCACAGAAGAAGCACCGGCUAACUCCGUGCCAGCAGCCGCGGUAAUACGGAGGGUGCGAGCGUUAAUCGGAAUUACUGGGCGUAAAGCGCGCGUAGGUGGCUUGAUAAGCCGGUUGUGAAAGCCCCGGGCUCAACCUGGGAACGGCAUCCGGAACUGUCAAGCUAGAGUGCAGGAGAGGAAGGUAGAAUUCCCGGUGUAGCGGUGGAAUGCGUAGAGAUCGGGAGGAAUACCAGUGGCGAAGGCGGCCUUCUGGACUGACACUGACACUGAGGUGCGAAAGCGUGGGUAGCAAACAGGAUUAGAUACCCGGGUAGUC